Salvia splendens (bonfire salvia) is the source of this 6687-nucleotide long non-coding RNA. RefSeq lists it as uncharacterized. The transcript has 20 exons. The record is from RefSeq and is a predicted model, not a curated record. NCBI's taxonomy places the organism in Eukaryota, Viridiplantae, Streptophyta, Magnoliopsida, Lamiales, Lamiaceae.
AGGGCAAAUAAAAUCAAACUCAGGGGAGAAAGCUUUGGUUCUGCUUUCGGAUAGAAGUGUUGUGACAGUUCCCACAGAAGACCUUCUACCAACUAAUCCUCGGAUACUUGACUAAGUUGAUGAUCUUCCACAACUAAGUUAUUUGAGCGUUUAGUUCUUCACAAUCUUCAAUAUAGAUAUUUACAAGAUAAUUUAAAUAGAAUGGCAGGCUCUGGAUUUUUGUCCGUCAAUCCAUAUAAAAAUGUCUAGGUAUAUGGGGAUGAUAAAGAAAGAAGCUUUUGGACACUCCUCAUGCUUAUGCUGUAGCUGAUGCGGCAUACAAUGCAAGGAUAGCAGAUGAAGUAAGCCUGGCUAUAAUUAUCAGUUUAAGCUGAAAAGGUUAAGAGAGUGGACGGAAGGGGCACAAAAUGAGGAAAUUGACUGAUAAGAAAGGAGGGAGGUGCAAAAAAGAAAAAAGAAAAAAAGAAAGAAAAAAAGAAAAAAAAGAAAGGAGGUGCAAAAAAGAAAAAGAAAAAAAAGUAAGAUGGAGAUGCAUGCAAAAAUAGAAGAUAAAGCGUUGUUGGUGGAGAUGGAAUCAAGAACUGUUACAAGGGAGAUAAGGAGUUGAUAUAGGAGAGGAAUGAGGCUGACAUAGGGGGGAACAAGAUGAGGAAGUUGCCUGAUAAGAAAGAAGGAGAUGCUAAAAAUAAGAAAGAAAGAAAGAAGGAGAUGCACGCAAAGAAAGAAGAUAAAGAUCUGUUGGAGAGAUGAAAUCAACAACCUCAUGAACUAUUACAAGGGAGAAAAGGAGUUGAAGUAGGAGAGGAAUAGGCUGACACAGUUCUGAACAUGCAAGGGAAGAAGAGAAACUGCCCAGUCUAGGACAUGCUCCAGAUCCCAUGACGUGCAGAAGCUGACCAACACAAGGUAUGGUCAAUAUGCAAUAGGCAUCGAGGGCAACUAGGAUAACCAUGUUUGAGCCUUGUUUCCAUUCAAUGUACAUCCAACACAUGUUAUCCCAGCUAGCCAUAUUCUUGCCAAGUCUCUUUUCUCAGCCCUCUUACAAUCAUUGCUCUUGAGGGCAAAUAAAAUCAAACUCAGGGGAGAAAGCUUUGGUUCUAGUUUCGGAUAGAAGUGUAGUGACAGUUCCCACACAAGACCUUCUACCAACCAAUCCUCGGAUACUUUACUAAGUUGAUGAUCUUCCACAACUAAGUUAUUUGAGCGAGCCUUUAGUUCUUCACAAUCUUCAGUAUAGAUAUUUACAAGAUAAUUUAAAUAGAAUGGCAGGCCCUAUAUUAUUGUCAGUCAAUCCAUUUAAAAUAUCCAGCUAUAUGGGGAUGAUAUAGCAAGUAGCUUGCUGAUGCAACAUGCAAUGCAACGAUAGCAGAUGAAGUAAGCCAAGCUAUAAUUAUCAGAUUUAUUUGCUACCACUUGGUUUGGUACUCUGUUUAAGUUAAAGGUGAAAUGGAAAGAGAGUGAACGGAGGGACAAAAUGAGGAUGUUGGCUGAUAGAAAAGAAAGAGAUGCAAGCAAAGAAAGAUGAAAAAGAGCUGUUGGAGAAGAUGAAAUCAGUAACCUCAAAAACCGUUACAGAGGAUAAAAGGGUUGAAAUAGGAGAGGAAUGAGGCUGACACAGUUUUGGAGAUGCAAGGGAAGAAGAGAAAUCAAGACAGGCAAAUGAGAAUGCAUACUUGACAAGGGAAAACUAGUGCCUGCAUUGUGGAGUACCACUAGCUGACAUCACAGGAUCUCUCAUCUACUUAUGAGGGCUUGCGAUAGAGAAUGCAGCUUGAUUUUUUCUCUCUAAUAAAGGCGAUGAAGAUGGGAUUUUCAACAGAGUUAACAACACCCCUGACAGAUAUUUUGGGAUUCUCUAAAUCCUGGAUGAGUGCUUUGAUGAAGAACAGAAGUAGGCUUAGUUUGCCCUUAAUUUGUUUGGGAACCUUAGAUUCUAUCAGAAUUUGUAAAGAAGACUAGAAACAUGCCUUCGAGAAGCUUUCUGCCGUUUUGUGACUGGGAACAUAUCAUUUCUUGUAACUGAUAAUCAAAAGCACAUCAAGGUUGUCUCUGAUGAAGCUAUUACAAAUGCUACUGGCUUGAUUGGCUCUAGUGAGAAAGACCUGAUUCUGACAAGAUCAGCCCGGAGGUCACCGAAUGUCUGACACAUGAACAGGCAAUCGACACAAGAGAUGCAUUGGCAAUGUUUAUUUAUGUGAGCAUGUUCGACUGGCUUGUGGAGAAGAUAAACUUGUCACUUUCCUAGGGGAAAGGUGAUAUGGGGUGUUCAGUAAGGAUCAUUGAUAUGGAUUUGAGUAACUUAAGGUAUACAAUGAUUGAUAUUUUCCACAAUGUAUACUAUGGUGUGUUUUGUCCCACUUUAAAUAAUCUUAGUUGGAUGGUUGCUUUUUUGCACCUAAAGAAUGGCUUUUUAGUAUGAACUGUUUUGCAUCAAUUAUGCUGACGAGCGGCUCCAGCAUCAUUUCGAUCAACAUCUCGUCAAACACGAGCAAGAAGUAAGCAUCACAAAAGUUAUUACAGUUUAUUUCCUUCUGUCUUUCCUUCACAAAAUAAAGCGUGCAAGGAUUACAAUUUGUGAAUUCAUAAGUAAAUCUUUCUGCCUUAAUUAUCUGAAUCAUUAAUGCAUUAAUCAACUUAAUGUUAAUUGUUUUGAUUUCAAAUUGUGCAUUAAAUAUUUUAGCAUAACCCUUAUGAUAUAUGAAUUUUGUUAUUGGUUUUGAUGAAACAUAUUUACAAUCAAAAGAUUAUGAGUUGGAUGAAAUUGACUGGAAAAGGAUUUUGAAGACAACCAAGAUUUUGUAGGUCCUUUUGAGAAGGUAAUCAGGGUUCUUAUUUUUGUAUAGUAGGGUUUUCCUUUAUCACGCAGCAUUUUGAUUGACAUAGUUCUAUUUAUGUCUAUGAGUGGGAUGGGGAGAAGGCCACUAAAGCCAUUUUCUGUUAAUUAGUAACACAUUAUCUACUAAUUGUUAUUUUAUUUUUGUCUGACUUUUACUUGCAUUUGUUGAAUAGAUAUGUUUUUAGUAUCGAACAAAUUAUGUCUCUUAACUUAUGGUGUGCUUGAUCAGACAUGUAUUGGAUUCAUACUUAACAUUUGCUUGUAAACUUAAACAUCACUUCAGUACUAACCGUUGGUUUAUGGAACACUUUAUCUUGGGUUAUUUUUGAGCUUUAAUUGUACAGUGCCAAUUUGGCCCACAUCUGUAGAGGAGAGACCAUCUACAGAAUCAGCCAUACCUCAAUUCCUUGGAGAGGAAGUUUUCAAUCCCCAAGUAUAAAAGCAAUGCUCUGCCCUAAUUGAAGUGGACGAGCAACCGGUAAGGAAAACAAAAAUCCUCCUUUUCCCUUUGAAUCUGUGACAGUUACAAUUAGUUAUAUUGAAUUCAUUUUCCACUUUUAAAUGCUUGCUAGCUAGUAGACAACAGAACAAAGCUUUGUCGAUGUUAGCUUUUCUUUUCUCUACCAAAGAAUGGUUGAGUUCUUUUGUCGCCAUGUUGCUAAGAUUCUGUUGUGAUUGCUCCAAUUUGUUUGUUUAGAAUUUCAGUAAGUUUGUUGAGAAGAUCUAUUGAAUUUCCAUGUUUCUGUAUAUUUUUACCAGCCUACCUAUGAUCUACUUGCAUUACUCUCUAUUUUUAGAAUUUUGCUAAGUUUCCUCUGCAUUUUUUUACCCCUUUAUAUAAUGUUUACUACAUGAGUUCUUUUGGAAGUUUUUAAAGAGUUUGUAUGCUCUUAGAUUAAGUUGACUGAUCUCCAUUUUCUAGCCAUGUUUGUGAAGUUUCCAGCCCAUUGUCUUUCAUGCUUCAACUUUUGUUUAAUGUCCACAGUUUCCUAAAACAUGAUUCCCACUCUCUUUUGAAUCCAAGUUUAUUUUUAGGUUAUAUUCUGUCUUUCAGUGUUCUCUUUCAAGCUUUCCAAAAGUAGGAUGGAGGUCUCGAUUUCCCACACUUAGUUAGAUUCAGUUUACUCUCUUAUUCCUAGUUCUCAUAUUUAAAAUUCUAGUUUCCCAUAUUAGUGUUUAGGUCCACUUUAAUCCUUAAGGAAGUGGUGGCUUACACCAAACCUCAUAUAAGCAACUUCAUUGUUGUUGGGAAUAUGUAAGGUGCUAAAAUAUAGACCUGUAAGCAUUCUUUUUAAUGGUCAAGUUGAACCUUGAAAAGAUAUUAUUUUUGUCUAUUCUUAGUCAUAUUUUUCUGACAUGGCUUUGCUAUUUUGCGCACAUCCAAUGUUAAAUUCUUCAAUUAUGAGCAAUCCUUGAAAAGAAUUGUUCAGUUGUUCCAAGGAGAGUGGCACUACCACAUUUUCUAUAAGCUCUGCUCUGUUGUCCCUUCUGGUCCCCAAGCCUUAUAGUGAGCGAGACCUGAUGCUUACAAUGUCAGCGCAGAAGGUACGAGCGGGAAAUGAUGAGGUCACCAAAUCUCUGACACUUGAACAAGUUCAUAAUUUCAAAGAUCAAUAUUACUUGCAUAAUGCUUAUUUUCAGGAUGUUUUGAUUGCUAAACCGUCACACUUAUGAUCAACAUGUCAGUUCCACGGGGAAAGAUAACAUGGAGUUAAGGUAUACAAUGAUUAAUAUUUUCCUCAAUAUAUAUAUAGUAUGGUGUGAUUUAUCCCAUUGUAAAUAGUCUUUCUUUACCAACCCACUUUAAUCAAUCUACUUGUAGUCUUUGAUUGCUUUUUACCACCAGAAGAACAGCACUUUUUACAUCUGUUACGCUGACGAGCGGCUCCAGAACCAUUUCAAUCAACAUCUCAUGAAAACUUGAGCAAGAACCAAGCAUCACACAUAAAAGUCUUUACAAUUUAUUUCCUUCUGUCUUCCUUCUCAAAAUAGCGCCUGCAAGGAUUACAAUUUGUGAAUUCAUAAUUCCCACAGAAGACCUUCUACCAGCCAUUCAGAAGAUACUUGACGAAGUUGAUGAUCAUGCACAAGCUAAGUUAUUUGAACAAGCCUUCAGUUCUUCACAGUCUUCAGCAUAGAUGUUUACAAUUACUUGCAUAUACCUUAGUUUGUUCUCUUUGUUUGAGGGAAAGCGUACUUCCAGUGUGAGGAGGUUUGGUGAGCCAUAUUUGUGACACUUUAUGAUGGGUUAUUUUGAGCUUUAAUUGUACAAAUACCAACAUAAUUCUCUGAAACUUGUGUAGCAAAUGGAGGAAAAUGAAUUCACGGUAAAAUGGAGUUUGGAAAUAACAGAAAAAUGCUGCAAAAAUGAGCUAAAAGAGAAAAAAAUGGGAGUGCUAAUAGAAGAAUGGUUGAAUUCUAUCGUUGCUUGUUGCUAAGAUUCUGUUGUGAUUGCUCCAAUUAGUUAGUUUAGAUAUUCUGAAAGUUUGUUGAGAAGCUCUAUUGAAUUCCAUGUUACUGUUAUUUUUCUAGCCUACCUAUGAUCUACUUGCAUUGCUCUCUGUUUUAACCACAUUAGUUUAGAAUUUGCUAAGUUUCCUGUGAAUGUAUUUACCCCUUCAUAUGAUGUUUAUUACAUACUUCUUUUCGAAGUUGUUAAAAUCAAUUUCUAUGCUCUUAGAUUAAGUUGACUGGUCUCUAUUUUCUAGCAACUUCAUUGCUGCUGGGAAUAUGUGUGGUGCUAAAAUAUAGACAUGUAAGCAUUCUUUUAAUGGUCAAAUUGAACCUUGAAAAUAUAUUAUUUUUGUCUAUUCUUAGUUAUAUUUUUUUGACAUGGCUUUGCCAUUUUGCACACAUCCAAUGUCAAAUUCAUCAAUUAUGAGCAGUCCUUCAAAAGGUCAGUAUGCUUAUCAAAAUCAGUGAGUUUGUUCCCUAGUCUGCAUAUUUAUGAUUCACUGGAAUUGACAUGAUUUCAUAUUUGACCUGUAAAGAAUUGUACAGGUUGUUCCAUGAAGAGUGGUCCUAUCACAUUUUAUAUAAGCUCUACUUUGUGUCCCUUCUGGUCUCCAAGGUUUGUACUAAGCUUUUCCCCAAUUAUUUAGUUUUCGACAUGCAAAUGUACCUUUUUCUCCUACAUAAAUGAAGAUUAUGGGAAUAGUUCAAAUACUUUUGGACGUGGUGAUUACUCUGAUUUACUUUUUUCUAUUAUUAUAUCUGUGGCAUACAAAAAUCUUUUUUAUAAGCUUGUAUCAUUUUUACUUAAUAGCUGUUGGUGUUUCAUUGUUAAGAACCUAUUUUCUUUAAAACAUACCAAAGCAUGAAUGUAACAUAUAUUGUUGAUGAUGCAUAAGUCAUUGCACUUUUCUCUUAAUAAAAAAAUCAUUUAUUGCCUAAAACACAUGUAUAGCUUUUCUGGAAAAUAUUAUAACCGGAAGCCUAUGAGUAAAUGAUUUCUGAUCCAAAACAUUGAUAAUGAACAAAACCUUCAUAAUCUUAUGGUCAAUGACAGGUCUUGAAUAUGCACUGUAUGGUUAGCUACACCCAUUUGUUUUUGUCGUACACAGUCAUUAUUCAAGCACCCAACCACUUUUGUGUCUGGAGAGCCUUAGAUUCUAUAAAGAUGACCAGGAACGCCUCAAAAUGCUUGCUACAGUUUUGUGGCUGGGAAACAAAAGCACAUCGAGGUUUUUCCUGAUGAAGCUUGCUUGACGGGCUGUAAUGAGCAAGAUCUAGUGCUUACAAUGUGAAAGUACGAGCGGGAUCCGUGCCAUUUGAACAAGUUCUUAAUUUUUUGUGUGUGCGCGCAGUGUAAAUUUUGUGUAUGAGUAUUUAGUGUGUGUAUUUCGUGUGUA